Cercocebus atys (sooty mangabey) is the source of this 3224-nucleotide long non-coding RNA. NCBI's taxonomy places the organism in Eukaryota, Metazoa, Chordata, Mammalia, Primates, Cercopithecidae. The record is from Ensembl.
CUUCAGUGCCUCACCGAAUGACGUUUAGAUCUGCGCCUCAGGGAUUUUUAACUCCCCAGGAUGGGCCUUUCUACCCUGUGGCUCUGUAAGGUCUGGAUAUUCUGAGGGGUCUGUGGAAUUCUGCGGGUCUCUUUCUAUGUGGCUGCUUGUGGGGUUGAUCUCAACUAUGGGCGGGGCUGUAUUCCUGUCCCUUUGGAAAGUUCUGUGCUGUUUUCUGCUCUUUAGUCAUCUAGUAUCUUUUCCCACGUGAUGACUUUCAACAGCUUUUUUUUGGAUGUAAUUUAAUACUGUAUAAAGAGGAGACUUAGAAACAACUGUCUCAACAGGCUAAAGACGGACAGUUUUAGUAACAGCCACAGCCUCGUCUUCCUUCCUUAUCACUUGAAAUGGUCACUUACACUUCUGCCAGAUAACACCUGUGAAAGGCAGGGGUCUCCUUCCUCUGAAUGUGUUUACUGAUUUCCUGGAGGUCACCGGGUCGUUGUUCAGUAAGAACAAGAAAGAGCUUCUGCCAGUGUUUUCCACUCUCUUCGGAAGACAGAGGAUCUUUCUCCGGGGGCUACCAUGGACUCCCAGGGUUUAGAAUAUUCAGUUCCUCAGAUCCCUGUUUAUGGUAGAAUCAUAAGACCCUGCAGAAGAUUCGCAGACACAAGAAACAGUGGCACAGAGCAUGGCCCUUUUCCUUCGUGGAGAAGCGUGCACUACCCACUCUCAGAAACCUUAGAGAUUUCAGGGCCCACCCUCUUCCCGGAUCAACAGGGUCCAAGAGCAGGAAAGUGGAACUGAAUACCUGGACUAAGACCAAAGAAUGCUGCAGUGUGGACUGGGGGGAUAAAUUCCAGGCAUUUCUUCUUGCUUCCAAAUGUAACUGAAUCUCUUUUAUCUGGAAAUAUGACUUGAGUUCAUAGGAAAGAGGAAUCAGGCCAAAGCCACUUUUUGAUAUUGGGGCAUCAGAAAUACCAUAGGCACAGGCUUUUUCACAGGAUGGUAUUUCUUGUUUGGACAUCUGGCUGAUCUGCUGAAAACAUGCAUCUGUGAGAAAUACAUGGGAACAAUUUCUUUUUGAUAAAUAAGGAAAUACUUUAGUAGAGGGUUAGUAUUGAAUUCUUACUUUUGUGUAUUUUCUUUUAGCAAUAACACCUUUUUCCUUUCUUUGCUAUGUUAGGAGAGAAAGAAGACUCAUGUUUAUUGUACGAACACAGUUACUUUUACAUUUUAAUGCACUGCUCUUAGAAAACAAACCAGGAAGCCACACGGAUUAUUUCUACAUGUUUCCACCCCUGUGGGAAAUCAGUGUUUCGAAACUUCAGCAUAUUACAUAUAAACAAACAUACCUCAUUCAUCUCGCAUCUUUUGAAUAAAUGAUUUAAUAAGAGAGUAAAGCAACAGAUAAAAGGUUUGCCUCUAAAAGAUUGUUCCGUUAUAAGCUAUUUCCCUUUGCUAAGACACUGUUUUAACAAAAUAUUUCUAAUUUAAAUUCUGGACACUUUCUGCUUUAGGCUUGGAGCUGUUGCUGUAGUCCAGUCUGUGCCUACAGGUGGCAGUGCUCCUUCAUGGUUGCAGCGAUGUGGAUUUCAAUGCAUUGGAUUGUCAAUGGAAGGUGAAUUUAGGAAGUGAAAUCAAACUUCAGAAAUCUAUUUUCAGGUAUAUUCUUCUAGUUUUAUGAAAGCAUAAGCUUAUGUUGUUUAAAAUGCUGUUAUAAAUAGAAGUGAACUUCAGCCACCAGCCUGAAGGCUGUCCUUUCUGCUGUUGCGUGUGGACGAUGUCUGAUGGGAAUGCAUCGUCUCUUCUCAGUAUGUGGAAAACAAAGUGGCUAGGAGCGGUGGCUCACACUUGUAAUCCCAGCACUUAGGGAGGCCGAGGCGGGUGGAUCAUGAGGUCAGGAGUUUGAGACCAGCCUGGCCAAUAUGGUGAAACCCCGUUUCUACUAAAAAGAGAAAAAUUAGCCGGGCGUGGUGGUGGGCAUUUGUAGUCCCAGUUAUUCAGGACGCUGAGGCAGGAGAAUCACUUGGACCCGGGAGGUGGAGGUUGCAGUGAGUGGAGAUCACACCACUGCACUCCAGCCUGGGUGACAGAGCAAGAUUCUGUCUUUAAAAAAAAAGAAAAAAAAGAAAAGAAAAGAAAAAAGAAAAACGAAGUGACUGAACUACUGAGAAACAGGUUCUCAGACCUCAGUUCCAGAAAAUUAUGAAUGGCUAAGCAUUACUGUAGAGUAAAUCUGUUUCAUUUUUCCACAGGUUUGUCUGUAGAUUGCAUUAGGGCAAGACUGGGUAAGUCUGUCUUUAUAAAAUCCACACUCUUGUGAGUACCAUAAUAAUUCUAUGGGCACCUUCAGUGGGGCUUGUUAGAACACUGAUGCUGAUGCUCCCUAAACUUAUUUUUCAAAGAACUGCUGGUUUAAUCAACAAAAUAGAAAUCACUGGAGAGAUUUAUUAAGCAUUUAACUUUUUUUUUUUUUAAAGGCAUUUAACUUCAUGUUAAGGAGUCAAAAAUACAAAAGGGUUGUGGAGUAGAAUUUCUGUAAAUUAAAUAACCAACUGGAGCUCAUGAGCCUGUGCUAGACUAGCUGUAAGAGUAACUGAUCACAGUUGGUGUGUGAUGACACUGGGCCAGCCACUGUGCUGAGGUAUUUGGAUGGUUUAACUCACGUAAAUCUAUAUAGCAACCCUACCAUUUUCUUUCAGUUCUAUGAUGCUUAAUUUUUCAUAUUUCACAGUUCUAAAAUUAGAAUAUGUUCUAAAAUAGAUGACUUCUGACAAUCCCUAUCCAUAAGGCAGAAACUGAGAUAGUAUUUGUUUGUUUGCUUUUGUUUAUUAUUAUUAUUAUUAUGUUAUUUCAAUAGGUAUUGGGGGAACAGGUGCUAUUUGGUUACACGGAUAAGUUCUUUAGUGGUGAUUUCUGAGAUUUUGGUGCAUCCAUCACCCGAGCAGUGUACACUGCACCCAGUGUGUAGUUCUUUAUCCCUCACCACCCCUGACCAUUUCCCUCAAGUCCUCAAAGGCCAUUGUAUUAUUAUUAUGCCUUUGUGUCCUCAGAGCUUAGCUCCCACUUAUGAGUGAGAACAUUUGAUGUUUCGAUUCCCAUUCCUGAGUUACUUCACUCAGAAUAAUGGUCUCCAGUUCCAUUAAGGUUGCUGCGAAUGCCAUAUGGCUGAGUGCCAUGUUAUAUAUUUUUUAGGCUAUGUAGUUGCAUAUUUUUUUGCCUUGGUACGUUUUUAUGAUAUU